GAGCCUGUAAGCCAACGGGUGUCCGCCUGCCGCAGAGUGAAUAGAGAAGAUGUUUAAAACGUUAGAUUUCGUAAUGUUAUGCUUGUGUCAAAAGGAUGUCACAGAACCAACACUGGAAAUCCUCAGUCCAUCACAAAAUGAACUUUGCAAAAGGAAUCGGGUGACGCUAAUUUGUCUAGCGACUGAUUUUUAUCCUGACCACAUAACUAUUACCUGGGAUUUGCCACACCUGAACGAGCCAACAAGAAUUAAAACUGACACCCCAGUGCUGAAUGGCCACACAAAGUUGUAUGGUGUCAGCAGCCGGUUAAGAGUGCCAAAAAGUGUCUGGUGCAACCCUGAUAACAAGUUUACCUGCAUUGUGACGUUUGGCAUGGAAAAUGGAACUGAGACUUACAGGAGAUCUAUACACGGAUCACAAGAUUGUGUCAAGAAGACUGAAUUAGUGAAGAAAAACAACAACACUGCAAAAUUUGUAUAUCUGAUGUUUUUCGGAAAAAGUGUGCUUUAUGGAUUUCUAAUUAGUGUUUUUAUGUGGAAAAUGAAGCCACACUCUAAAGAUUCAAGAUGAUAAAUGAGGAAAAUAAGAAACCUGAAAUUGUUUUUCUCUUUCUUUUUUGAAUAUUCACUAUAAAACAUAAGUUGUAUGUUGUAUGAAUUAUUGAUUUUUUUUUUCUGCACUAUUAGUUGAUUUAGCUUUUUCUGUCCUGCAUGUCAUUCAUUAAAGUCUUAUUUCAAGACAAAGUUGUUUCUGUUUUUAAUGUAGCAAAACGUUUAAUAAGCAUUGUGAUGUAAUGUUCAGUUAUUGGGGUUAAAACUAUUGUUAUAUCAUGCAUAGUAAUAAAUUUUAUUAAAACGUCUUAAAAUA
Non-coding RNA from Polypterus senegalus (gray bichir), 868 nucleotides. The record is from the annotation of a RefSeq genome assembly. NCBI's taxonomy places the organism in Eukaryota, Metazoa, Chordata, Cladistia, Polypteriformes, Polypteridae.